CAGAGUUUAUCCUGGCUCAGGAUGAACGCUAGCUACAGGCUUAACACAUGCAAGUCGAGGGGCAGCGGGAUUGAAGCUUGCUUCAAUUGCCGGCGACCGGCGCACGGGUGAGUAACGCGUAUCCAACCUUCCGUACACUCAGGGAUAGCCUUUCGAAAGAAGAUUAAUACCUGAUGGUAUGAUGAAAUUGCAUGAUAGCAUCAUUAAAGAUUUAUCGGUGUACGAUGGGGAUGCGUUCCAUUAGGUAGUAGGCGGGGUAACGGCCACCUAGCCUACGAUGGAUAGGGGUUCUGAGAGGAAGGUCCCCCANAUUGGAACUGAGACACGGUCCAAACUCCUACGGGAGGCA
Molecule: ribosomal RNA, 349 nt
Filed under: uncultured bacterium
Lineage: Bacteria
Description: bacterial SSU rRNA
Rfam family: Bacterial small subunit ribosomal RNA
Source: RNAcentral